Molecule: ribosomal RNA, 251 nt
Filed under: uncultured bacterium
Lineage: Bacteria
Description: partial 16S ribosomal RNA
Rfam family: Bacterial small subunit ribosomal RNA
Source: RNAcentral
UACGUAGGGUGCAAGCGUUAAUCGGAAUUACUGGGCGUAAAGCGUGCGCAGGCGGUUUGUAAGUUUGUCGUGAAAGCCCCGGGCUCAACCUGGGAAUUGCGAUGAAGACUGCAAGGCUUGAAUCUGGCAGAGGGGGUAGAAUUCCACGUGUAGCAGUGAAAUGCGUAGAGAUGUGGAGGAACACCGAUGGCGAAGGCAGCCCCUGGGUCAAGAUUGACGCUCGAUGCACGAAAGCGUGGGGAGCAAACAGG